This 414-nucleotide ribosomal RNA is filed under the name uncultured bacterium. RNAcentral's name for it is "bacterial SSU rRNA". It matches the Rfam family "Bacterial small subunit ribosomal RNA", at positions 917 to 1333 of the family's 1533-position model. The record is from RNAcentral.
GGGCCCGCACAAGCGGUGGAGCAUGUGGUUUAAUUCGAUGCAACGCGAAAAACCUUACCUACUCUUGACAUACUUGGAAGCUCUUGUAAUGAGAGUGUGCCUUUUGGAACCAAGAUACAGGUGCUGCAUGGCUGUCGUCAGCUCGUGUCGUGAGAUGUUCCGUUAAGUCGGAUAACGAGCGCAACCCUUACCCUUAUUUGCCAGCGAUUCGGUCGGGAACUAUAAGGGGACUGCCGGUGAUAAACCGGAGGAAGGUGAGGACGACGUCAAGUCAUCAUGGCCCUUACGAGUAGGGCUACACACGUGCUACAAUGGGGAAUACAGACGGACGCUAAGCCGCGAGGUGGUGCUAAUCCUUAAAACCGGUCUCAGUUCGGAUCGGGGUCUGCAACUCGGCCCCGUGAAGCUGGAAUC